AACGUAGGUGGCAAGCGUUAUCCGGAUUUACUGGGCGUAAAGGGUGUGCAGGCGGGGUUGCAAGUGGUGUAUGAAAUCUCCCGGCUUAACCGGGAGGGGCUAUGCCAGACUGCAAUUCUAGAGGACGAGAGAGGGGGGUGGAAUUCCGGGUGUAGUGGUGAAAUGCGUAGAGAUCCGGAGGAACCCCAGAGGCGAAGGCGGCCCCCUGGCUCGUACUUGACGCUCAGCCACGAAAGCAUGGGGAGCGAACGGG
RNAcentral lists this ribosomal RNA (253 nucleotides) under uncultured bacterium. RNAcentral's name for it is "partial 16S ribosomal RNA". It matches the Rfam family "Bacterial small subunit ribosomal RNA", at positions 524 to 776 of the family's 1533-position model. The record is from RNAcentral.